RNAcentral lists this ribosomal RNA (158 nucleotides) under uncultured bacterium. RNAcentral describes it as "partial 16S ribosomal RNA". It matches the Rfam family "Bacterial small subunit ribosomal RNA", at positions 1345 to 1500 of the family's 1533-position model. The record is from RNAcentral.
CAGGUCAGCAUACUGCCGUGAAUACGUUCCCGGGCCUUGUACACACCGCCCGUCACACCAUGAGAGUUGGGGAUACCCGAAGCCUGUGAGCUAACUAUUUAUAGGAGCAGCAGUCGAAGGUAGAAUCAAUGAUUGGGGUGAAGUCGUAACAAGGUAAC